RNAcentral lists this long non-coding RNA (223 nucleotides) under Mytilus galloprovincialis (Mediterranean mussel). Lineage: Eukaryota; Metazoa; Mollusca; Bivalvia; Mytilida; Mytilidae. The record is from RNAcentral.
UAAAACUUAAGUCGCAUAUUUCAAAAACAAAUAAGUAACACAUCUGAUAAAAAACAACAAAUAAGCGACACACUAGGUUCUUGCAACAAAAGUAAAAAAAAAAUACAAACAUUAAGUAGAUUCUUUUUUUUUUUAUUAAAAAAAAAAAAAAAAAAACAUUAGGAACAUAUAGGGCGCAAUUUCCACUAGGAAGGCCGUCCUUAAAAAACUAAAAAACCCACAG